GGACAUGUAGCCAAGCCAGGAUAUGGCAUCAGCCUCCUAAGCUGAAUACCCGGAGUUCGAAUCUCCGCAUGCCCG
This 75-nucleotide transfer RNA is filed under the name Methanocorpusculum sp. RNAcentral's name for it is "tRNA-Arg". It matches the Rfam family "tRNA". From Rfam's summary of the family: Transfer RNA (tRNA) molecules are approximately 80 nucleotides in length. Their secondary structure includes four short double-helical elements and three loops (D, anti-codon, and T loops). The record is from RNAcentral. Lineage: Archaea; Methanobacteriati; Methanobacteriota; Methanomicrobia; Methanomicrobiales; Methanocorpusculaceae. RNAcentral also lists the same sequence under 1 other name.